Molecule: ribosomal RNA, 467 nt
Filed under: uncultured Gaiellales bacterium
Lineage: Bacteria; Bacillati; Actinomycetota; Thermoleophilia; Gaiellales
Description: bacterial SSU rRNA
Rfam family: Bacterial small subunit ribosomal RNA
Source: RNAcentral
UCCUACGGGGGGCAGCAGUGGGGAAUCUUGCGCAAUGGGCGGAAGCCUGACGCAGCAACGCCGCGUGUGGGAAGACGGCCUUCGGGUUGUAAACCACUUUCAGGGGGGACGAAGCUUCCAGGGUUAAUAGCCCAUGGGGUGACGGUACCCCCAGAAGAAGCCCCGGCUAACUACGUGCCAGCAGCCGCGGUAAUACGUAGGGGGCGAGCGUUGUCCGGAAUCAUUGGGCGUAAAGCGCGUGUAGGCGGCUCGGUAAGUCCGGUGUGAAACCUUGGGGCUCAACCCCAAGCCGGCACUGGAUACUGGCGAGCUUGAGUCCGGGAGGGGAGAGCGGAAUUCCUAGUGUAGCGGUGAAAUGCGCAGAUAUUAGGAAGAACACCGGUGGCGAAGGCGGCUCUCUGGAACGGUACUGACGCUGAGACGCGAAAGCGUGGGGAGCGAACAGGAUUAGAUACCCCUGUAGUCUC